This is a transfer RNA of Verticillium dahliae VdLs.17, 72 nucleotides long. It matches the Rfam family "tRNA". Rfam says of the family: Transfer RNA (tRNA) molecules are approximately 80 nucleotides in length. Their secondary structure includes four short double-helical elements and three loops (D, anti-codon, and T loops). The record is from Rfam. Lineage: Eukaryota; Fungi; Ascomycota; Sordariomycetes; Glomerellales; Plectosphaerellaceae.
CCUCCCGUGGCGCAAUGGUAGCGCAGUGGAUUUCUGAUCCGAAGGCUGUGGGUUCGAGUCCCACCGGGAGGU